GUUUGAUUCUGGCUCAGGAUGAACGCUGGCGGCGUGCCUAACACAUGCAAGUCGAGCGAUUUACUUCGGUAAAGAGCGGCGGACGGGUGAGUAACGCGUGGGUAACCUGCCCUGUACACACGGAUAACAUACCGAAAGGUAUGCUAAUACGAGAUAAAAUACUUUUAUCGCAUGGUAGAAGUAUCAAAGUUUUUGCGGUACAGGAUGGACCCGCGUCUGAUUAGCUAGUUGGUAAGGUAACGGCUUACCAAGGCGACGAUCAGUAGCCGACCUGAGAGGGUGAUCGGCCACAUUGGAACUGAGACACGGUCCAAACUCCUACGGGAGGCAGCAGUGGGGAAUAUUGCACAAUGGGCGAAAGCCUGAUGCAGCAACGCCGCGUGAGCGAUGAAGGCCUUCGGGUCGUAAAGCUCUGUCCUCAAGGAAGAUAAUGACGGUACUUGAGGAGGAAGCCCCGGCUAACUACGUGCCAGCAGCCGCGGUAAUACGUAGGGGGCUAGCGUUAUCCGGAAUUACUGGGCGUAAAGGGUGCGUAGGUGGUUUCUUAAGUCAGAGGUGAAAGGCUACGGCUCAACCGUAGUAAGCCUUUGAAACUGGGGAACUUGAGUGCAGGAGAGGAGAGUGGAAUUCCUAGUGUAGCGGUGAAAUGCGUAGAUAUUAGGAGGAACACCAGUUGCGAAGGCGGCUCUCUGGACUGUAACUGACACUGAGGCACGAAAGCGUGGGGAGCAAACAGGAUUAGAUACCCUGGUAGUCCACGCCGUAAACGAUGAGUACUAGCUGUCGGAGGUUACCCCCUUCGGUGGCGCAGCUAACGCAUUAAGUACUCCGCCUGGGAAGUACGCUCGCAAGAGUGAAACUCAAAGGAAUUGACGGGGACCCGCACAAGUAGCGGAGCAUGUGGUUUAAUUCGAAGCAACGCGAAGAACCUUACCUAAGCUUGACAUCCUUUUGACCGAUGCCUAAUCGCAUCUUUCCCUUCGGGGACAGAAGUGACAGGUGGUGCAUGGUUGUCGUCAGCUCGUGUCGUGAGAUGUUGGGUUAAGUCCCGCAACGAGCGCAACCCUUGCCUUUAGUUGCCAGCAUUAAGUUGGGCACUCUAGAGGGACUGCCAGGGAUAACCUGGAGGAAGGUGGGGAUGACGUCAAAUCAUCAUGCCCCUUAUGCUUAGGGCUACACACGUGCUACAAUGGGUGGUACAGAGGGCAGCCAAGUCGUGAGGCGGAGCUAAUCCCUUAAAGCCAUUCUCAGUUCGGAUUGUAGGCUGAAACUCGCCUACAUGAAGCUGGAGUUACUAGUAAUCGCAGAUCAGAAUGCUGCGGUGAAUGCGUUCCCGGGUCUUGUACACACCGCCCGUCACACCACGGAAGUUGGGGGCGCCCGAAGCCACUUAGCUAACCCUUUUGGGAAGCGAGUGUCGAAGGUGAAAUCAAUAACUGGGGGGAAGUCGUAAAAAGGUAGCC
This 1463-nucleotide ribosomal RNA is filed under the name uncultured bacterium. RNAcentral's name for it is "16S ribosomal RNA". It matches the Rfam family "Bacterial small subunit ribosomal RNA". The record is from RNAcentral.